GAUGCAAACUGCGAAUACCGGAGAAUGUUAUCACGGGAGACACACGGCGGGUGCUAACGUCCGUCGUGAAGAGGGAAACAACCCAGACCGCCAGCUAAGGUCCCAAAGUCAUGGUUAAGUGGGAAACGAUGUGGGAAGGCCCAGACAGCCAGGAUGUUGGCUUAGAAGCAGCCAUCAUUUAAAGAAAGCGUAAUAGCUCACUGGUCGAGUCGGCCUGCGCGGAAGAUGUAACGGGGCUAAACCAUGCACCGAAGCUGCGGCAGCGACGCUUAUGCGUUGUUGGGUAGGGGAGCGUUCUGUAAGCCUGCGAAGGUGUGCUGUGAGGCAUGCUGGAGGUAUCAGAAGUGCGAAUGCUGACAUAAGUAACGAUAAAGCGGGUGAAAAGCCCGCUCGCCGGAAGACCAAGGGUUCCUGUCCAACGUUAAUCGGGGCAGGGUGAGUCGACCCCUAAGGCGAGGCCGAAAGGCGUAGUCGAUGGGAAACAGGUUAAUAUUCCUGUACUUGGUGUUACUGCGAAGGGG
Molecule: ribosomal RNA, 521 nt
Filed under: Escherichia coli
Lineage: Bacteria; Pseudomonadati; Pseudomonadota; Gammaproteobacteria; Enterobacterales; Enterobacteriaceae
Description: partial 23S ribosomal RNA
Rfam family: Bacterial large subunit ribosomal RNA
Source: RNAcentral